The sequence is a ribosomal RNA, 524 nucleotides long. It matches the Rfam family "Bacterial large subunit ribosomal RNA", at positions 345 to 872 of the family's 2925-position model.
GAAAGAUGAAUCAAAGAAGGUAAUAAUCCUGUAGUCGAAAAUGUUGUCUCUCUUGAGUGGAUCCUGAGUACGACGGAGCACGUGAAAUUCCGUUGGAAUCUGGGAGGACCAUCUCCUAAGGCUAAAUACUCUCUAGUGACCGAUAGUGAACCAGUACCGUGAGGGAAAGGUGAAAAGCACCCCGGAAGGGGAGUGAAAUAGAACCUGAAACCGUGUGCUUACAAGUAGUCAGAGCCCGUUAAUGGGUGAUGGCGUGCCUUUUGUAGAAUGAACCGGCGAGUUACGAUUUGAUGCAAGGUUAAGCAGUAAAUGUGGAGCCGUAGCGAAAGCGAGUCUGAAUAGGGCGUUUAGUAUUUGGUCGUAGACCCGAAACCAGGUGAUCUACCCUUGGUCAGGUUGAAGUUCAGGUAACACUGAAUGGAGGACCGAACCGACUUACGUUGAAAAGUGAGCGGAUGAACUGAGGGUAGCGGAGAAAUUCCAAUCGAACCUGGAGAUAGCUGGUUCUCUCCGAAAUAGCUUUA